GACGAACGCUGGCGGCGUGCUUAACACAUGCAAGUCGAACGGAAAGGCCCCUUUGGGGGUCCUCGAGUGGCGAACGGGGGAGUAAGACGUGAGUAACCUUCCCUUGACUUUGGGAUAACGUCAGGAAACUGGGGCCAAUACCGGAAAGGAAUACUUGCUUCAUGGGGGGGGUUGGAAAGCUUCGGCGGGUUUUGAUGGACUCGCGGCGUAUCCGCGUGUUGGUGGGGCAGUGGCUUAACGAGGCUUUGACGGGGAGCCGGCCUGCGCGGGCGACCGGCCACUCUGGGCCCGAGCGGCGGCCCCGACUCCUACGGGUGGCAGAAGGGGCGAAUCUUGCACAAUGGGCGGCCGCCUGAUGCAGGAAGGCCGCGGGCGGGAAAACCGCCUUCGGGUUGUAAAACGAAUUCAGCAGGGGCGAAGCCUGUUGUGACGGUACCUGCAGAAGAAGCACCGGCUAACUUCGUG
This 465-nucleotide ribosomal RNA is filed under the name uncultured bacterium. RNAcentral describes it as "partial 16S ribosomal RNA". It matches the Rfam family "Bacterial small subunit ribosomal RNA", at positions 28 to 507 of the family's 1533-position model. The record is from RNAcentral.